RNAcentral lists this transfer RNA (76 nucleotides) under Streptomyces albospinus. RNAcentral's name for it is "tRNA-Arg". It matches the Rfam family "tRNA". Rfam says of the family: Transfer RNA (tRNA) molecules are approximately 80 nucleotides in length. Their secondary structure includes four short double-helical elements and three loops (D, anti-codon, and T loops). Lineage: Bacteria; Bacillati; Actinomycetota; Actinomycetes; Kitasatosporales; Streptomycetaceae. The record is from RNAcentral. RNAcentral also lists the same sequence under 9 other names.
GCCCCCGUAGCUCAGUGGAUAGAGCAGGUGCCUUCUAAGCGCUUGGCCGCAGGUUCGAGUCCUGCCGGGGGCGCCA